CGGCAAAAGCUCAAAUUUGAAAUCUGGCACCUUCGGUCCUCCGAGUUGUAAUUUGAAGAUUGUAACCUUGGGGUUGGCUCUUGUCUAUGUUUCUUGGAACAGGACGUCACAGAGGGUGAGAAUCCCGUGCGAUGAGAUGCCCAAUCCUAUGUAAGGUGCUUUCGAAGAGUCGAGUUGUUUGGGAAUGCAGCUCUAAGUGGGUGGUAAAUUCCAUCUAAAGCUAAAUAUUGGCGAGAGACCGAUAGCGAACAAGUACAGUGAUGGAAAGAUGAAAAGAACUUUGAAAAGAGAGUGAAAAAGUACGUGAAAUUGUUGAAAGGGAAGGGUUUGAGAUCAGACUCGAUAUUUUGUGAGCCUUGCCUUCGUGGCGGGGUGACCCGCAGCUUAUCGGGCCAGCAUCGGUUUGGGCGGUAGGAUAAUGGCGUAGGAAUGUGACUUUGCUUCGGUGAAGUGUUAUAGCCUGCGUUGAUGCUGCCUGCCUAGACCGAGGACUGCGAUUUUAUCAAGGAUGCUGGCAUAAUGAUCCCAAACCGCCCGUCUUGAAACACGGACCAAGGAGUCUAACGUCUAUGCGAGUGUUUGGGUGUUAAACCCGUACGCGUAAUGAAAGUGAACGUAGGUGAGGGCUCUUUUGAGUGCAUCAUCGACCGAUCCUGAUGUCUUCGGAUGGAUUUGAGUAAGAGCAUAGCUGUUGGGACCCGAAAGAUGGUGAACUAUACCUGAAUAGGGUGAAGCCAGAGGAAACUCUGGUGGAGGCUCGUAGC
Molecule: ribosomal RNA, 764 nt
Filed under: Meyerozyma guilliermondii
Lineage: Eukaryota; Fungi; Ascomycota; Pichiomycetes; Serinales; Debaryomycetaceae
Description: partial large subunit ribosomal RNA
Rfam family: Eukaryotic large subunit ribosomal RNA
Source: RNAcentral